Molecule: ribosomal RNA, 253 nt
Filed under: uncultured bacterium
Lineage: Bacteria
Description: partial 16S ribosomal RNA
Rfam family: Bacterial small subunit ribosomal RNA
Source: RNAcentral
UACGGAGGGUGCAAGCGUUAUCCGGAUUCACUGGGCUUAAAGGGCGCGUAGGAGGGCAGGUAAGUCAGUGGUGAAAUCUCCAAGCUUAACUUGGAAACUGCCGUUGAUACUAUCUGUCUUGAAUAUUGUGGAGGUGAGCGGAAUAUGUCAUGUAGCGGUGAAAUGCUUAGAUAUGACAUAGAACACCAAUUGCGAAGGCAGCUCACUACUCAAUCAUUGACUCUGAGGCACGAAAGCGUGGGGAUCAAACAGG